RNAcentral lists this small nuclear RNA (18 nucleotides) under Arabidopsis thaliana (thale cress). Its description in RNAcentral is "snRNA_07241". The record is from RNAcentral. Lineage: Eukaryota; Viridiplantae; Streptophyta; Magnoliopsida; Brassicales; Brassicaceae.
GAAGCCGGGUUACGGUGC